GUGGGGAAUAUUCCGCAAUGGACGAAAGUCUGACGGAGCAACGCCGCGUGAGUGAUGAAGGUUUUCGGACUGUAAAGCUCUGUUGUUUAGGACGAAAGUGCCUGUUGCAAAUAGUUACAGGUAUUGACGGUACUGAACGAGGAAGCCACGGCUAACUACGUGCCAGCAGCCGCGGUAAUGCGUAGGUGGCAAGCGUUGUCCGGAAUUAUUGGGCGUAAAGAGCAUGUAGGCGGGAAUCUAAGUCUGUUGUGAAAAUGCGGGGCUCAACCCCGUAUUGCGAUGGAAACUGGGUUUCUUGAGUGCAGGAGAGGAAAGGGGAAUUCCCAGUGUAGCGGUGAAAUGCGUAGAUAUUGGGAGGAACACCAGUGGCGAAGGCGCCUUUCUGGACUGUGUCUGACGCUGAGAUGCGAAAGCCAGGGUAGCGAACGGGAUUAGAAACCCCAGUAGUCC
RNAcentral lists this ribosomal RNA (450 nucleotides) under uncultured bacterium. Its description in RNAcentral is "partial 16S ribosomal RNA". It matches the Rfam family "Bacterial small subunit ribosomal RNA", at positions 354 to 796 of the family's 1533-position model. The record is from RNAcentral.